CAUAUGCAUACAACUGAAAGUGCCACUUGCUAUAAGCCAAGGCUACUGAGUGAUACUGUUAACGAUGAUGAUGAUAAUAAUAGCUAUACAUGAAUUACAUUGUGGAUGUUGAAAUAAUAUACUAUGUCUAAUUCUUCCUUACUCCCAACCCAUCUCUUAUUUUUUGCUUUGAUCUCUACUAGAGAUUUUCCGAAGUGCCAGAAGUGUCUAGUCAUAGAACAUAACUUACAGUAUUUUAGAGAAAUUGUAUAUAUAAUGUUUUCCUAGGAAACCGCAGGAUUGUGGUUUGCUCAUUUAAAAAUGGAAGCUUUGUGAGCUAGACAAGAGGACCUUUAAUGAUCAAGGUUUUAAUUAUUUUCUUCUUGUUUGCUUGCUCACUAGAUGUAAAAACAUGCAAUGAGGUGGACCUGGAGAAUUCUGCAGAUUGGGAAGUGAAGACAAUAACAAGUGCCAUGAAACAGUAUUUGAGGAGUCUUCCAGAGCCUCUCAUGACCUAUGAGUUACACGGAGAUUUCAUUGUUCCAGCCAAAAGUGGCAGCCCAGAAUCUCGUGUUAAUGCGAUCCAUUUCUUGGUACACAAACUGCCAGAGAAGAAUAAAGAGAUGUUGGAUAUUUUGGUGAAACACUUAACAAAUGUUUCAAAUCACUCCAAGCAGAACCUGAUGACCGUGGCAAACUUAGGAGUGGUGUUUGGACCAACUCUGAUGAGGCCACAGGAAGAAACUGUCGCUGCCCUCAUGGACUUGAAGUUUCAGAAUAUUGUUGUGGAAAUCUUAAUUGAAAACCAUGAAAAGAUUUUUCGGACGCCGCCCGAUACUACAUUCCCUGAGCCCACCUGCCUGUCAGCAUCACCCCCAAAUGCGCCACCAAGGCAGUCGAAGAGACAAGGCCAGAGAACCAAGAGGCCCGUGGCCGUCUACAAUCUUUGUCUAGAGCUGGAAGAUGGUGACAAUCCUUACCCUUCCAAGGAGGACACCCCUACCAGCAGUCUGGACUCACUUUCCUCCCCGUCUCCCGUGACUACAGCUGUCCCUGGGCCUCCUGGACCAGACAAAAACCACCUUCUGGCAGAUGGAGGGAGCUUUGGAGACUGGGCAUCCACUAUCCCAGGCCAGACCCGAUCGUCUGUGGUCCAGUGGCUUAAUCCACAGUCUCCAACCACAACAAGCUCCAACACAGCUGUGACACCUCUUUCACCCGGGUCGUCCCCUUUCCCCUUUUCUCCUCCUGCUACUGUAGCGGACAAGCCACCUGAAAGCAUUAGCAGUCGGAAGGCUCGAGCCGUAUAUCCGUGUGAAGCAGAACACAGCUCGGAAUUAUCUUUUGAAAUAGGAGCAAUUUUUGAGGAUGUACAAACCUCCAGGGAACCUGGCUGGCUAGAAGGGACUCUGAAUGGCAAGAGGGGGCUGAUUCCACAGAACUACGUCAAGCUGCUGUAGCUCCUGGCCUCAGAGCCCCUGCUGACCCUGGCACCCAGGGACCUGCCUGGGGGCAGAAAGCUGUCUUCCUCCUCCGAGGCUCUGGGCUGCACCCACAGGUACCUCCACACUUGGGAGUUACCAUCAUCACAAUCAGCCUUGGCGGGCAGGGGGUGGCGGGCAGGGAUGGGACGCACCACACAGAACUGUGAUUGUGGAUCAGGAGGGGAAUGUCAGGAUUCGCAAAAUGGACUUUUCAUUUGUCAAGUAUCGGGACUUGUGAUUUUUAAUUAUCCAGCAUAUAGAAUGAGAGGGAGGGCAGCCUUCUGCCACCUCUGUCGCCUCCACUGGCAGUCACACCACCAGAGCCACCCUGGCUCCCUCUCCUCCCUGAGCACCUGCUGCUGCGAUUUUAAAGGGAACUGUACUAUUCGCAGUGAUAGGUUUGCAGAGUGCGUGCUUGGCUGUGGCAGCCUAGCUUGGAGAGGCUGCUGCUGGUGCAGGGGAGAUGGUCUCAAGCCAGAGGGAAGCAGAGAUGUGCUUCUCAAGCCUGCCCUUCCUAGACGGCCACCUGCAGGACCCCACACUCACUGCACUGGCAGCGUGCACUGGCGUAUUUGUAACAGGCUUCUUGGUGCUCCUCACCCGUGUGCUGUUUUCCAAACACCACCUUUUUGCCUCAAGGUCUCUGUAAAUGAAAUAAACUGUAAUUUACUA
Molecule: small RNA, 2135 nt
Filed under: Pongo abelii (Sumatran orangutan)
Lineage: Eukaryota; Metazoa; Chordata; Mammalia; Primates; Hominidae
Description: retained intron
Source: RNAcentral